This 234-nucleotide ribosomal RNA is filed under the name Triticum aestivum (bread wheat). RNAcentral describes it as "partial small subunit ribosomal RNA". Lineage: Eukaryota; Viridiplantae; Streptophyta; Magnoliopsida; Poales; Poaceae. The record is from RNAcentral.
AUGGAUCACGGACUAAAUAUCGCAGUUUGGAAUGUUCGCGACCUUAACUCGCGCGCUCGGCGUAGUGCCAUCCGUUCUCUGUUGGGCACUACCGGCGCCUCCAUUGUAUGCUUACAAGAAACUAAGAUGACUUUGAUCUACUCGCGCAUUGUGCUAGACAUCCUCAGCUCCGAGUUCGACGACUACACUUACCUCCCGGCCGAUGGCAAAUGGGGCGACAUCCUCCUCGCCUGA